CACACACACACACACACACACACACACACACAGGUAGCUCACUGUGUACCCGCCACGGAGAGGUAGAUCUUUUAUUUAGCCAUUUCAGCAGGCGGCUCCUGGCCAUGAAUUAUGCAAGCGCCUGGCCCCUGGAACAAGCUCCAGCUCAACUGUACACCUUGUGUGUGCCUUCAAAUAUAGAUAAAAGCUCAACAGUGAGCUACAAACGUAGUUUCUCUUUUCUUUUUGCUUUUUUUUACUCUUUUUCUUUUCUUUAGUUUUUUUUUCUCCUCACAAACCAAGACAGAAAAAUCCAGAGUAAGGAGCAGGAGAAAGAGAGAGCCAGAGAGAGAGAGAGAGAGAAAGAGAGAAAGAAAGAGAGAAAGAGAGUCCAUGGCAAUUAAGAGGAGGUAGCAACCAUGGGACUGGUCUCCCUGUUCCACCCUACGUGUCUGGCCAGGGAAGGAGGCAAGGCACUACGCUGAUGGACUGAAUCAAACCAACAGCAAGUACUGCCUUGUGUGUGGUGGGGCAUCAUGGCAUUAUUGUCUGCACUGCUCGGGAUGGGGUCACGGUGACCAUAUCCAGUGAGGUUGUGUUUAAAGAAUCAAGGCUAAAAUGUGCACAGUGCAAGGUUUAACAAUUUGCUAAAUUAGGAAAAUAUUUUAAUCCAGAUUAUAAUUUACACAGAAUAACAAGACGUUUUGUUGAAUGAUGUUAAUGACGAGUUAAUGAUGGGCAUAACAUGACAACCAACAAGGCUGUCAUUAUUGACUUUACUUCACUGAAUAGCACUGGACAAAUUAUUGAUUUUUUAAAAAAAUUUUAAGCAGGACAUUUCAGGGGGCCGAGAAACAACUAGCUGAGGCACUGUUGUCUGGCAGCCUAAAGCGAACCCAAUAGCUCAUCACACAGUUCAUUACAUUGUUGAUAGAAACUAGCUUCUUUUGUGUGGCUACUUGCAUCUAUGCGUCGCGUCAAGACUUCUGACUGCUAACAUUGUACCUCGUUCGACUGCCUUAGAUCAAAGGACAUCCCCACAACGUUUAUAAGGCAACAAACAAACCUGCUUUUGAGGUUAAUGCCCCAAAAAAGCUUGAUUUCACAACGUCCCUGAGCACUGACAGA
Long non-coding RNA from Clupea harengus (Atlantic herring), 1107 nucleotides. Lineage: Eukaryota; Metazoa; Chordata; Actinopteri; Clupeiformes; Clupeidae. The record is from Ensembl.